Long non-coding RNA from Gasterosteus aculeatus aculeatus (three-spined stickleback), 1679 nucleotides. NCBI's taxonomy places the organism in Eukaryota, Metazoa, Chordata, Actinopteri, Perciformes, Gasterosteidae. The record is from Ensembl.
UCCUCCCAGAGUAAAAAAGCCAUUUGCGCAUUUUACCUGUUUUGACAAACAGCAGGACAUAUUAAUAAUGGUAAAUGGACAGUACUUGUAUAGCGCUUUUCUAGUCUUCUGACCACUCAAAGCGCUUUAACACUGCAUGACAUCAUUCACCCAUUCACACCUAUUCAUACACUGAUGACAGGAGAACCAUACACACGACACCUGCACAUCAAUAACUAACAUUCACGCACUGUAGUCACAGUUACAGGAGCAAUGUUGGGUUAAGUGUCUUGCCCAAGACACAUCAAAAUGAGGGUUAGCAGAGCCUGGGAUCGAACCGAGUGUUAAUUAUGAUAUGUCCUUUGCAUGAAUCCCAGAAUUGUAUUUAACUUCACCCAGCAUUUGGGUAGAAUAUAUAACAACUAUAUGUAGUUGAAACAACUCAGAAUUGUAGUUAAUUUGACCCAGCAUUUGGGUAGAAUAUAUAACAACUAUAUGUAGCUGAAACAACUCAGAAUUGUAGUUAAUUUGACCCAGCAUUUGGGUAGAAUAUAUAACAACUAUAUGUAGCUGAAACAACUCAGAAUUGUAGUUAAUUUGACCCAGCAUUUGGGUAGAAUAUUUAACUCAUGUUGGGUUAAAAUGGCCAACCCAUAGUGCUGGGUCAAAUUAACUACUGCUAGGUUGGUGCAAUGGUGACCCAGCGGUUGAGUUAUAAAACAACCCAAAUUGGGUUAUUUUUAACCCAACCUUUUUUAGUGUGUAGUUAAGCUGCUAUAGGCUUAGGCUGCCGGGGGACUUCUUAGGACACACAGUGCUCCUCUCUCACUCUCACUCUAUCCUUCUACAAUAACCCAGGUUUUAUUAAUGCAUAUCACUAAUUCAGCUUCUUCCCCCAAGUUUGUUGUGCUUUUCUCGCAGGUCUUCGUAGAUCGUGGUUCCGUCUGGACCCUGGUCCUAACUCCUGCCUGGUUUCCAUGGAUCAUGGUUCAAUCUGGACCCUGUUACUGCCUCUUGUCGUGGCCCUGCUGAUACCUUCUACUGCCAUCAUCAUCAUUAUUACUAUUUGAAAUAUUAAUCACAUUACUAUUACCGUCAUCAUAAACCAACAUUACCCUUUCCUAAAGUCUUUGUGCUUUCCCUCCCCACAGGCUUCUGUGGAUGGUGGUUCUAUGGGAUGAUGGUUCUAUCUGAUGGUGGUUGUCCCUGCAGUGGUCCUGCCGUACACCUACUUACUACGCGCAAUUAUUAGAAUCAUUUCUGUGUAGGAAUUGAAUGUAUUGUAGAUCUUUUACAUUGUUCAUUCUGUACACUUGACAUCCAUUGUAGUCUGUCCAUCCCGGGAGAGGGAUCCUCCUCUGACGUUCUCACUAAGGUUUCUUCACCUUUAUCCCCAUGGAAGGGUUUUCAUUUUUGGGGGAGUUUUUCCUGUGCCAAUGUGAGGGUUUCGGGACAGAGGAUGUUGCAUAUGUACAGACUGUGAAGCCCUCUGAUGCAAAUUAGUGAUUUGUGAUUUUGGGCUAAACAAAAUAAAAUGAAUUGGAUUGAAAAAACGUGAUAAUAGUGUAAGAUUUUAGUUCCGGUGUAGGUGCUUUUAUUGUGAAGGGGGAGAUGGAAGGAGAGGAAAGAGAAGAAGUGUUCAGCUGGGGGUUUAUUUUUUGGAGUGGAAAUAAAGUUGCUGCCAGUUUGUCGAGGAAACG